RNAcentral lists this ribosomal RNA (918 nucleotides) under Triticum aestivum (bread wheat). Its description in RNAcentral is "partial small subunit ribosomal RNA". The record is from RNAcentral. Lineage: Eukaryota; Viridiplantae; Streptophyta; Magnoliopsida; Poales; Poaceae.
AUGUCGGGGGAGGACGUCCGCAAGGUCCAGAAUCUCAUUGAGCGCUGUCUCCAGCUGUAUAUGAACCAGAAAGAAGUGAUUGAUACCCUCUCCCUUGAGGCCAAGAUAGAACCGAGCUUUACUGAACUUGUUUGGCAAAAACUUGAGGAAGAGAACCGUGAAUUUUUCAAGGCAUACUAUUUGAGGCUGAUGCUUAAGAAUCAAAUAACGGCCUUCAACAAGCUUCUUGAGGAUCAGUUCCAGCUUAUGAACAAAGACUAUUCUUCAGGGAUCCCUUCUAUGCCUCUUACCAAUGGCUCCAACUCCACAACAUUGAAGCAAAACUCGUGCUUUUUACCAGAGUCUGGUCCCAUGUCUGCAAUGCCAAAUGGUGCGAUGCGCAACGGAAGUUCAGGUGGUUUAGUAAAUGGAACAUCAUCUGGUGAUCAGUCAAUUUAUGGUGGUAAAAACAUUCACGGUCCUCACAGUGGUAUGGAUGCUUCAACCAGCGUGCUACCAGCCCAGAAUGCAUCUGCUCUGCUUUAUGGUGCAGAUAAUAAUGGUACAACAAUAAAGACAGAGUCAAGCUAUUCGAGCAACGCUGAUUUUGCUUUCUGUGGGAACGCUUUCCUUGAAUCAUGCCAAUCAAUUGGCGAUGCCUCGGGUGGUUCCUUUAGCAGCUCAGAGUUGAACGGGCAACCACUGAAUGAUGCACUUCUGGAUAUGGAGUCAUCGUCAUUUGGCUUCUUGAGCCAGAUUCCCCGGAAUUUCAGUUUUUCAGACUUAACAGAGGGGUUCAACCAAAAUACAGAAGUAUUGGAGAAUUAUGGCAGGUCACCAUUUCUAUCUUCUGAGCCAAAUAACUUCUCAGAUUCUACAGGUGGAGAACAUACAGGUAAUCCAUUUUCAUCCAGUCUUCUUUUCGAGAGCCAGCUGUGA